AAAACUUUCAACAACGGAUCUCUUGGUUCCGGCAUCGAUGAAGAACGCAGCGAAAUGCGAUACGUAAUGUGAAUUGCAGAAUUCAGUGAAUCAUCGAGUCUUUGAACGCACAUUGCGCCCCCUGGUAUUCCGGGGGGCAUGCCUGUCCGAGCGUCAUU
Molecule: ribosomal RNA, 158 nt
Filed under: Aspergillus penicillioides
Lineage: Eukaryota; Fungi; Ascomycota; Eurotiomycetes; Eurotiales; Aspergillaceae
Also listed under: 7 other names
Description: 5.8S ribosomal RNA
Rfam family: 5.8S ribosomal RNA
About the family: 5.8S ribosomal RNA (5.8S rRNA) is a component of the large subunit of the eukaryotic ribosome.
Source: RNAcentral